GGCUCAAUGGUCUAGUCGUAUGAUUCCUGCUUUGGGUUUUCCAGCCUAUUCUGCAGGAGGUCCCGGGUUCAAAUCCCGGUUGAGCCC
The sequence is a transfer RNA, 87 nucleotides long. It matches the Rfam family "tRNA". Rfam says of the family: Transfer RNA (tRNA) molecules are approximately 80 nucleotides in length. Their secondary structure includes four short double-helical elements and three loops (D, anti-codon, and T loops). The record is from Rfam.